GAUGAACGCUGGCGGCGUGCUUAACACAUGCAAGUCGAGCGAACAGACGAGGAUCUUGCUCCUCUCACGUUAGCGGCGGACGGGUGAGUAACACGUGGAUAACCCACCUAUAAGACUGGGAUAACUUCGGGAAACGGGAGCUAAUACCGGAUAAUCUAUUGAACCGCAUGGGUCAAUAGUGAAUGACGGUUUUGGUGUCACUUAUCGAUGGAUCCGCGCCUCAUUGGCGAGUUGGUAAGGUAACGGCUUACCACGGCGGCGAUGCGUAGCCGACCUGUGGGCGUGAUCGGCGCCACUGGGGGUGAGCCGCGGUCCAGGGUCCUAGGGGAGGCACCAGUAGGGAAGGGUCCGCAAUGGGGGGAAUCCUGACGGAGCGGCGCCAGGCGAGUGAUGAAAGUCUUCGGGUCGUAAGACUGUCUUCUUGGGGAAGAACAAAUGUGUACGUAACUAUGCACGUCUUGACGGUACCUGGUCAAGAAGCACCGGCUAACUACGUG
This 497-nucleotide ribosomal RNA is filed under the name uncultured bacterium. Its description in RNAcentral is "partial 16S ribosomal RNA". It matches the Rfam family "Bacterial small subunit ribosomal RNA", at positions 28 to 507 of the family's 1533-position model. The record is from RNAcentral.